RNAcentral lists this long non-coding RNA (876 nucleotides) under Triticum aestivum (bread wheat). Its description in RNAcentral is "long non-coding RNA (TAES_LNC018487)". The record is from RNAcentral. Lineage: Eukaryota; Viridiplantae; Streptophyta; Magnoliopsida; Poales; Poaceae.
CCCCUUGCUUGCAUCGCGGCGGCGGUGGCCUCCGUCCCCUUGCAUCUACCAGCGGCGGCGACCUCCUACCCCCUUCUUCUAUCCAUUCGUGGCGCCAGCCUCCACACCUCGCGAGGGAGACGGGAUGGAGGCAGGGACAUGGCCAGGAUCCUCCUGUACUGCUCCUCCUACCAAUGGAUUUCUUCCCCACGCAGAGGAUCUGAACUACACAGCGCCUAUGCCUUCUUCCUCAUAUCCGACCCUCCAAAUAGCCGCCCACUAUCGUUCAUUCUCUGACUCCUCUCUACCAUGUGUUUCAAAUUUUGUGCAGAUGCAGCAGGAAGGCCAACCUCUCUCUUCGGUUCAGACUUCACAGAUGUUCUACGGCUUUAGAGAUGUGCAAAUGCUAGCACUAGUGCAGAUGACCAGGAAGUUUACUACGGCUACAUGCCAAAUUCAGAUUUUAGAAGCGUUUCUCUAAAGUUCUGCUAUGUCUUUAGACCAGGUUCAACCUUCAGAACCGUUUUGUGCAGUAGACAUGGCUGGUGCGUGUGUGUUCUAGUUUGGUGUGCUGCGUGCGUGUGUGUCCAGCGUGAUGCAUCACACAUGUUCGCCAUGAUGGAUGCUGGCCAGUUCUAUCGCAACAGCUGCUAGUCUCUUCCGUUGUUCCCUUUUCCGAGCAAAACAUGCUCUCUUGUCUCUCUCUAAUUGACUUGUUGAUGCAGCAUAAAGGAAUAAUAUAUUUUGAUUGCUACUUUCCCUUGGACGUUCAUAUCGGAAGUGAAAAAGUAAUUGUAGCCAAGCUAACUAAGAGGUGUAGCUUAUGUGUCCGUCACAUGUUUAUGUCCACUUCCAUCUAUCUUUGGUUGUUUCUAUUUUGUAUUCUGCAAUUCUCUC